Molecule: small RNA, 29 nt
Filed under: Bombyx mori (domestic silkworm)
Lineage: Eukaryota; Metazoa; Arthropoda; Insecta; Lepidoptera; Bombycidae
Description: ovarian small RNA-2268
Source: RNAcentral
UGGCCGUGUGUCUCUGCUUGCGGCAGAGU